GAUGAACGCUGGCGGCGUGCUUAACACAUGCAAGUCGAACGAAGCACCUUGAUUUGAUUCUUCGGAUGAAGAUCUUGGUGACUGAGUGGCGGACGGGUGAGUAACGCGUGGGUAACCUGCCUCAUACAGGGGGAUAACAGUUAGAAAUGACUGCUAAUACCGCAUAAGACCACAGCACCGCAUGGUGCAGGGGUAAAAACUCCGGUGGUAUGAGAUGGACCCGCGUCUGAUUAGGUAGUUGGUGGGGUAACGGCCUACCAAGCCGACGAUCAGUAGCCGACCUGAGAGGGUGACCGGCCACAUUGGGACUGAGACACGGCCCAAACUCCUACGGGAGGCAGCAGUGGGGAAUAUUGCACAAUGGGGGAAACCCUGAUGCAGCGACGCUGCGUGAGCGAUGAAGUAUUUCGGUAUGUAAAGCUCUAUCAGCAGGGAAGAAAAUGACGGUACCUGACUAAGAAGCACCGGCUAAAUACGUG
RNAcentral lists this ribosomal RNA (479 nucleotides) under uncultured bacterium. RNAcentral's name for it is "partial 16S ribosomal RNA". It matches the Rfam family "Bacterial small subunit ribosomal RNA", at positions 28 to 507 of the family's 1533-position model. The record is from RNAcentral.